Molecule: ribosomal RNA, 1822 nt
Filed under: Picobiliphyte sp. MS584-11
Lineage: Eukaryota; Picozoa
Description: large subunit ribosomal RNA
Rfam family: Bacterial large subunit ribosomal RNA
Source: RNAcentral
UUUUUUUUUAAAUACUUUUAGUAGCAAAAUGUAAUCUAUAAAUAAACUCAAGGUGAAAACUUUGACUACUUUAUGAUUAGUAAGAAUGUUGACAUGAGUAACUACAAACGAUGUGAAAACCAUCGUCGCCGAAAGAUCAAGGGUUCUUACGUACAGAUAUUCUGCGUAAGCUAAGACGGCCUUUAAACAUACCUAUGAAAAUAGAUUGUGAUAAGUACACAAUGUAUGACUACCUUUUUAGGUGUUAUCAAUAUUCUGUGUCAUUCUUAUGUCUGACGAUGUAACUUUGAUAUAUUUUUUUUUAUUGAAUUAAAAGAGUAUAUCAGUUGGGUCCUAGAAAAACCUAAGAAAAAAGAACCGUACCUCAAACCGACUAAGGUGAUCUAGCAUUAGUAUGCUAAGGCGAUUGAGAAAACUCCACUUAAGGAACUCGGCAAUAUGCUUCCGUAACUUCGGGAGAAGGAAGAUCUUAUACUAAUUCCCCCUUGAAGACUAGCCGCUAGGUUGGUCGUAAGUCCACAUCCGUGGCAAUAAGUAACGAUAACUGGGCGUUGUAUAAGAUGAUCAAAAUUGCUUGGCCCGACUGUUUAUCAAAAACACAGCUCGAUGCAAAGUAGUAAUACCAUGUAUAUCGAGUGACCCCUGACCAAUGUACGGCUAUUAUGAAUGGCGAGUCUUUACUUGUCAUUUAAAGUACCUAUCAAUGUCGGUUGUAACUAUAACGAUCCUAAGGUAGCGAAAUUCCUAGGCACUUAAUUGGUGUCCAGCAUGAAUGGGGUAACGAGGCCUCGACUGUCUCAAGUGGAGACUCAGUGAAAUUGAAUUCGUCGUGAAGAUGCGAUGUAUUAGCGGGUAGGCGAAAAGACCCCAUGAACCUUUACUACAGGUUUAGAUUGCUAACAUGACUAGGGAAUGCAGGAUAGGUGGGAGUCAAUCAGACCUAAGCUCCGGCUUAUUGUUUAGACGUCCUUGAGAUACCACCCUCUCUAGCAUCGAAGCUCACUCAUUUUUCUAUAAAUUUAAAAACACUCAACUAGAAUUCUAGGUUUUUAUAUCUGUGAUAUCCUGAGGGGAUAUCAUCUUAUUUUUAGAAGUAGAUAAAUUAUAAUUGAUUCAAUAUAUUCUAUUUUGUAGUCAAUUUAUUUAUCCGUAGGGGAACGUCUAAGCUUGGUAGUUUGCCUGGGGCGGGAACCUCCUAAAGAGUAACGGAGGUAUAUAGUUUGUCUCAGUGGGAACAGAAGCCCCACUUAGAGUAUAAUAGCAAUAAAGACAAAUGGACUGUAAGAGUGAUAGCUCAAGCAGGCAGGUAUUGUUUUACAAUUACCUGGUUUAUAGUGAUCAGGCGCUUCCUUAUGGAAGGGGCGUCGCUUAAUAGAUAAAAGGUACUCUGGGGAUAACAGCGUAAUCCCGGAUAAGAGCUCCUAUUGAAUCCUGGGUUUGCGACCUCGAUGUUGAUUCAUCCCAUCCUCCUGGUGUAGCAGCUGGGAAGGGUAGCACUGUUCGUGCUCUAAGGGGGUACGUGAAUUGAGUUCAGAACGUACGUGAGACAGUUUGGUUUCUACCUCCCGCUAAGUGAAAUAAGAAAAAAAAUAUGAGACUAGUAUGAGAAGACCGUCUUGUGUGAAUCUCUGGUUAGCAGAUUGUUCCAUCAGGAGCACUGUCUGUACGCUACAUUCAUCAUAGAUAAGCGUUGAAUGCAUAUCAAACGCGAAGCUAAUUUUUUCACUUCUUAUUUUGAAAAACAAUAGACCAUUGUUUAAAUAGGCUCGAACUAGAUCUUCUGUAAAGAAACAGGUUUCGUGUACUAACGUUUAGUCAAGAC